ACGGCUCAGUAACACGUGGACAACCUGCCCUUAGGUUGGGUAUAAACCCGGGAAACUGGGUAUAAUACCCGAUAGGUCUCGAUUGCUGGAAUGCAUCGAGAUUUAAAGCUCCGGCGCCUAAGGAUGGGUCUGCGGCCUAUCAGGUAGUAGUGGGUGUAGCGUACCUACUAGCCUACGACGGGUACGGGUUGUGAGAGCAAGAGCCCGGAGAUGGAUUCUGAGACACGAAUCCAGGCCCUACGGGGUGCAGCAGGCGCGAAAACUUUACAAUGCUGGAAACAGCGAUAAGGGAACCUCGAGUGCCAGGUUACAAAUCUGGCUGUCGUGAUGCCUAAAAAGCAUUGCAUAGCAAGGGCCGGGCAAGACCGGUGCCAGCCGCCGCGGUAACACCGGCGGCUCGAGUGGUAACCGUUAUUAUUGGGUCUAAAGGGUCUGUAGCCGGCCGGAUAAGUCUCUUGAGAAAUCUGGCAGCUUAACUGUCAGGCUUUCAGGAGAUACUGUCUGGCUCGAGGCCGGGAGAGGUGAGAGGUACUUCAGGGGUAGGGGUGAAAUCUUGUAAUCCUUGAAGGACCACCAGUGGCGAAGGCGUCUCACCAGAACGGACCUGACGGCAAGGGACGAAAGCUAGGGGCACGAACCGGAUUAGAUACCCGGGUAGUCCUAGCCGUAAACGAUACUCGCUAGGUGUCGGCCACGGUGCGACCGUUGUCGGUGCCGUAGGGAAGCCGUGAAGCGAGCCACCUGGGAAGUACGGCCGCAAGGCUGAAACUUAAAGGAAUUGGCGGGGGAGCACCACAACGGGUGGAGCUUGCGGUUUAAUUGGAUUCAACGCCGGA
RNAcentral lists this ribosomal RNA (836 nucleotides) under uncultured archaeon. RNAcentral describes it as "bacterial SSU rRNA". It matches the Rfam family "Archaeal small subunit ribosomal RNA", at positions 85 to 922 of the family's 1478-position model. The record is from RNAcentral.